GCACAAGCGGUGGAGCAUGUGGUUUAAUUCGACGCAACGCGAAGAACCUUACCUGGGCUUGACAUGUUCCUGACCGUCCUGGAAACAGGGCUUCCCUUCGGGGCAGGAUCACAGGUGGUGCAUGGCUGUCGUCAGCUCGUGUCGUGAGAUGUUGGGUUAAGUCCCGCAACGAGCGCAACCCCCGUCGCAUGUUGCCAGCAUUUAGUUGGGGACUCAUGCGAGACUGCCGGUGACAAACCGGAGGAAGGUGGGGAUGACGUCAAGUCAUCAUGCCCCUUAUGUCCAGGGCUACACACGUGCUACAUUGGCGCGUACAGAGAGCUGCGAUACCGCGAGGUGGAGCGAAUCCCUUAAAGCGCGUCUCGGUUCGGAUUGCAGGCUGAAACCCGCCUGCAUGAAGGCGGAGUUGCUAGUAAUCGCGGAUCAGCAUUGCCGCGGUGAAUACGUUCCCGGGC
This 455-nucleotide ribosomal RNA is filed under the name uncultured bacterium. RNAcentral describes it as "bacterial SSU rRNA". It matches the Rfam family "Bacterial small subunit ribosomal RNA", at positions 923 to 1379 of the family's 1533-position model. The record is from RNAcentral.